UUGCAGGUGACAGCUGGUGUACUUGAAGGCCAAUGGAGAAGUGAGAGAACCUUGAGCAAGACUUAACACCCAGCAUGUUACUUCAGCCUCAUCAGUUAAGCUGGCCAGAAGUAACAUCAUACUGAACCUAAGGAGAAAUAACUUAAAAUGCCAGAACAGGUGACAGCUGACGUACGUGAAUGCCAGUGAAGAGGAAGUGACUGACACCUUGAGCAAGAUGUAACACCCAGCAUGUUACUUCAGCCUCCUCAGGUAAGUUACUUGUGUAUCUUAGUAUGGCCAUCCCCUAAAAACUACUGGAAGUAAGACUAGAGGAGGGACUUACUUUGUGUGAAGGGUUGGAAAG
This is a long non-coding RNA of Homarus americanus (American lobster), 346 nucleotides long. RefSeq lists it as uncharacterized. The transcript is spliced from 3 exons. The record is from RefSeq and is a predicted model, not a curated record. Lineage: Eukaryota; Metazoa; Arthropoda; Malacostraca; Decapoda; Nephropidae.